This 340-nucleotide ribosomal RNA is filed under the name Protoclythia modesta. RNAcentral's name for it is "partial 12S ribosomal RNA". The record is from RNAcentral. Lineage: Eukaryota; Metazoa; Arthropoda; Insecta; Diptera; Platypezidae.
AAUGUAAUUAAAAAUACUUGAGUAUUAAUAGUUAUGGUCUUUAAACUUAAAAAAUUUGGCGGUAUUUUAGUCUAUUCAGAGGAACCUGUUUUAUAAUCGAUAAUCCACGAUGUACCUCACUUAAAUUUGUUAAUCAGUUUAUAUACCGUCGUUAUAGAAUAUUUUAUAAGAAAAAUAAUUUUCAAUAAUUAAGAUAAUAAUAUAUGUCAGAUCAAGGUGUAGCUUAUAUUUAAGUAAUAAUGGGUUACAAUAAAAGUAUUUUUGGAUAUAAAGAUGAAAAAUUUAUUGAAAAUGGAUUUGAUAGUAAAAUUAAAUAGAUAAUUGAUUUGAUUUUAGCUCU